This 19-nucleotide small nuclear RNA is filed under the name Arabidopsis thaliana (thale cress). RNAcentral describes it as "snRNA_12723". Lineage: Eukaryota; Viridiplantae; Streptophyta; Magnoliopsida; Brassicales; Brassicaceae. The record is from RNAcentral.
GCGUUCAUAGCGACGUUGC